This 822-nucleotide long non-coding RNA is filed under the name Marmota monax (woodchuck). The record is from RNAcentral. Lineage: Eukaryota; Metazoa; Chordata; Mammalia; Rodentia; Sciuridae.
GUUUGUAGAAAAAACAACGCAAUUAAAUUACAGUGGCUAUCUUCUCCCAUUGCUUUAAUUUCCUUAAAAGAGGAAAGCUUAUCAAAUUUUAUAGUCAGUCUUGCAUGAUACAAUUUUGAGGCUAAAAUUAAUUACAUAUAUUCCACAACUUCCCACGUGACCACUGCGAGACCUUGAUGUAUUACUUCUUUGUUACAUUCAAUAGCAAAUGGCACUUAGCAUAUCUAACUACUAUAGUGUCAAUUCGAGAUAAUUGUUUGGGAACUUAGACCUGCUUAUUUAAAGGGUGGGGACUCAAUGUUAAUUAGAGGAACAAAGCAACCUCAGCUUGACCAUGGGAAAUCUCAUGCAAUGCCCAGUUAGUCUUUAGGUGGUUUUUUCAAAUUCUUCAUUAUUUCUGGAAUUCUCAGGAAUUUCAGGACAUUAAAGUAUCUGUCCUGGUGACUCUGGACCAACAAGGAAUAGGGGGAUUCCGCACUUGAACAGGGCUAAAGGAAAUGGAACAUUUCAGCAAAGUAAUGAUAGUGUAUCUUGUCCCAGAUCUUCCAUUGGCCCCAGGAAGUUGUAUUUUUCCAUAGUGUACGCCAUUAAGACACAGUGUGUUAUUGACUCAAGAGGGGAAGAGGAAAGUUGGAAGAGAAAAAUUCAAAGACAAAAGUGUGUUUUAGAGAAGCUUGUGAUCUGAGUCAUUUUCAUUUGUAACAGGAAGUUUUCCUGCUCUGUAGGUAUCCAUUAUCUUCAUGAGUUAGCUGUGCUGUUAUUUUGGCAGAUGGUAGUUUUGACAUUAUUAAUUACCAUUUUAAGUUAACUAGCAGUCAAAGA